GAUUAAGUUAUUAAGGGCGCACGGUGGAUGCCUUGGCACUAGAAGCCGAUGAAGGACGUUACUAACGACGAUAUGCUUUGGGGAGCUGUAAGUAAGCUUUGAUCCAGAGAUUUCCGAAUGGGGAAACCCAGCAUGAGUUAUGUCAUGUUAUCGAUAUGUGAAUACAUAGCAUAUCAGAAGGCACACCCGGAGAACUGAAACAUCUUAGUACCCGGAGGAAGAGAAAGAAAAUUCGAUUCCCUUAGUAGCGGCGAGCGAAACGGGAAGAGCCCAAACCAACAAGCUUGCUUGUUGGGGUUGUAGGACACUCUAUACGGAGUUACAAAGGACGACAUUAGACGAAUCAUCUGGAAAGAUGAAUCAAAGAAGGUAAUAAUCCUGUAGUCGAAAAUGUUGUCUCUCUUGAGUGGAUCCUGAGUACGACGGAGCACGUGAAAUUCCGUCGGAAUCUGGGAGGACCAUCUCCUAAGGCUAAAUACUCUCUAGUGACCGAUAGUGAACCAGUACCGUGAGGGAAAGGUGAAAAGCACCCCGGAAGGGGAGUGAAAUAGAACCUGAAACCGUGUGCUUACAAGUAGUCAGAGCCCGUUAAUGGGUGAUGGCGUGCCUUUUGUAGAAUGAACCGGCGAGUUACGAUUUGAUGCAAGGUUAAGCAGUAAAUGUGGAGCCGUAGCGAAAGCGAGUCUGAAUAGGGCGUUUAGUAUUUGGUCGUAGACCCGAAACCAGGUGAUCUACCCUUGGUCAGGUUGAAGUUCAGGUAACACUGAAUGGAGGACCGAACCGACUUACGUUGAAAAGUGAGCGGAUGAACUGAGGGUAGCGGAGAAAUUCCAAUCGAACCUGGAGAUAGCUGGUUCUCUCCGAAAUAGCUUUAGGGCUAGCCUCAAGUGAUGAUUAUUGGAGGUAGAGCACUGUUUGGACGAGGGGCCCCUCUCGGGUUACCGAAUUCAGACAAACUCCGAAUGCCAAUUAAUUUAACUUGGGAGUCAGAACAUGGGUGAUAAGGUCCGUGUUCGAAAGGGAAACAGCCCAGACCACCAGCUAAGGUCCCAAAAUAUAUGUUAAGUGGAAAAGGAUGUGGCGUUGCCCAGACAACUAGGAUGUUGGCUUAGAAGCAGCCAUCAUUUAAAGAGUGCGUAAUAGCUCACUAGUCGAGUGACACUGCGCCGAAAAUGUACCGGGGCUAAACAUAUUACCGAAGCUGUGGAUUGUCCUUUGGACAAUGGUAGGAGAGCGUUCUAAGGGCGUUGAAGCAUGAUCGUAAGGACAUGUGGAGCGCUUAGAAGUGAGAAUGCCGGUGUGAGUAGCGAAAGACGGGUGAGAAUCCCGUCCACCGAUUGACUAAGGUUUCCAGAGGAAGGCUCGUCCGCUCUGGGUUAGUCGGGUCCUAAGCUGAGGCCGACAGGCGUAGGCGAUGGAUAACAGGUUGAUAUUCCUGUACCACCUAUAAUCGUUUUAAUCGAUGGGGGGACGCAGUAGGAUAGGCGAAGCGUGCGAUUGGAUUGCACGUCUAAGCAGUAAGGCUGAGUAUUAGGCAAAUCCGGUACUCGUUAAGGCUGAGCUGUGAU
This 1568-nucleotide ribosomal RNA is filed under the name Staphylococcus aureus. RNAcentral describes it as "partial 23S ribosomal RNA". It matches the Rfam family "Bacterial large subunit ribosomal RNA", at positions 1 to 1567 of the family's 2925-position model. Lineage: Bacteria; Bacillati; Bacillota; Bacilli; Caryophanales; Staphylococcaceae. The record is from RNAcentral.